UGGGGAAUAUUGGACAAUGGGCGCAAGCCUGACCCAGCCAUGCCGCGUGAGUGAUGAAGGCCCUAGGGUUGUAAAGCUCUUUCACCGGUGAAGAUAAUGACGGUAACCGGAGAAGAAGCCCCGGCUAACUUCGUGCCAGCAGCCGCGGUAAUACGAAGGGGGCUAGCGUUGUUCGGAUUUACUGGGCGUAAAGCGCACGUAGGCGGACUUUUAAGUCAGGGGUGAAAUCCCGGGGCUCAACCCCGGAACUGCCUUUGAUACUGGAAGACUUGAGUAUGGUAGAGGUGAGUGGAAUUCCGAGUGUAGAGGUGAAAUUCGUAGAUAUUCGGAAGAACACCGGUGGCGAAGGCGGCUCACUGGACCAUUACUGACGCUGAGGUGCGAAAGCGUGGGGAGCAAACAGG
This 404-nucleotide ribosomal RNA is filed under the name Actinomycetes bacterium. Its description in RNAcentral is "Actinobacteria bacterium partial 16S ribosomal RNA". It matches the Rfam family "Bacterial small subunit ribosomal RNA", at positions 355 to 776 of the family's 1533-position model. The record is from RNAcentral. Lineage: Bacteria; Bacillati; Actinomycetota; Actinomycetes.